Non-coding RNA from Macaca mulatta (Rhesus monkey), 52 nucleotides. Lineage: Eukaryota; Metazoa; Chordata; Mammalia; Primates; Cercopithecidae. The record is from Rfam.
UUUGUAGUGUAAAUAUGUCCCAGGCAAGAUUUGGGACAUACUUACACUAAAA